Molecule: ribosomal RNA, 509 nt
Filed under: uncultured bacterium
Lineage: Bacteria
Description: partial 16S ribosomal RNA
Rfam family: Bacterial small subunit ribosomal RNA
Source: RNAcentral
GACGAACGCUGGCGGCGUGCUUAACACAUGCAAGUCGAACGAAGAGCGAUGGAAGCUUGCUUCUAUCACUCUUAGUGGCGACCGGGUGAGUAACGCGUAAUCAACCUGCCCUUCAGAGGGGGACAACAGUUGGAAACGACUGCUAAUACCGCAUACGAUCUAACCUCGGCAUCGAGGAUGGAUGAAAGGUGGCCUCUAUUUAUAAGCUAUCACUGAAGGAGGGGAUUGCGUCUGAUUAGCUAGUUGGAGGGGUAACGGCCCACCAAGGCGAUGAUCAGUAGCCGGUCUGAGAGGAUGAACGGCCACAUUGGGACUGAGACACGGCCCAGACUCCUACGGGAGGCAGCAGUGGGGAAUCUUCCGCAAUGGACGAAAGUCUGACGGAGCAACGCCGCGUGAGUGAUGACGGCCUUCGGGUUGUAAAGCUCUGUUAAUCGGGACGAAAGGCCUUCUUGCGAAUAGUUAGAAGGAUUGACGGUACCGGAAUAGAAAGCCACGGCUAACUACGU